ACUGAGACAAGGGCCCAGGCCCUACGGGGCGCAGCAGUCGCGAAAACUUUGCAAUACACGAAAGUGUGACAGGGCUAUCCCGAGUGCCAUCCGCUGAGGAAGGCUUUUACCCAGUCUAGAAAGCUGGGGGAAUAAGGAGAGGGCAAGUCUGGUGUCAGCCGCCGCGGUAAUACCAGCUCUCCGAGUGGUGUGGAUGUUUAUUGGCCUAAAGCAUCCGUAGCUGGCUAAGUUAGUCCCUUGUUAAAUCCACCGAAUUAAUCGUUGAUUGCGGGGGAUACUGCUUAGCUAGGGGACGAGAGAGGCAGACGGUAUUUCCGGGGUAGGGGUGAAAUCCUAUAAUCCCGGGAAGACCACCAGUGGCGAAGGCUGUCUGCUAGAACGCGC
RNAcentral lists this ribosomal RNA (384 nucleotides) under uncultured crenarchaeote. Its description in RNAcentral is "bacterial SSU rRNA". It matches the Rfam family "Archaeal small subunit ribosomal RNA", at positions 302 to 690 of the family's 1478-position model. The record is from RNAcentral. Lineage: Archaea; Thermoproteati; Thermoproteota.